CAGCAGCCGCGGGAAUACGAAGGGGGCUAGCGUUGCUCGGAAUCACUGGGCGUAAAGGGUGCGUAGGCGGGUCUUUAAGUCAGGGGUGAAAUCCUGGAGCUCAACUCCAGAACUGCCUUUAAUACUGAAGAUCUUGAGUUCGGGAGAGGUGAGUGGAACUGCGAGUGUAGAGGUGAAAUUCGUAGAUAUUCGCAAGAACACCAGUGGCGAAGGCGGCUCACUGGCCCGAUACUGACGCUGAGGCACGAAAGCGUGGGGAGCAAACAGGAUUAGAUACCCCCGUAGUCCCUGUCUCUUAUAC
Molecule: ribosomal RNA, 301 nt
Filed under: uncultured bacterium
Lineage: Bacteria
Description: partial 16S ribosomal RNA
Rfam family: Bacterial small subunit ribosomal RNA
Source: RNAcentral